Molecule: ribosomal RNA, 396 nt
Filed under: uncultured bacterium
Lineage: Bacteria
Description: partial 16S ribosomal RNA
Rfam family: Bacterial small subunit ribosomal RNA
Source: RNAcentral
AUACGGAGGGUGCAAGCGUUAAUCGGAAUUACUGGGCGUAAAGCGCACGCAGGCGGUUUGUUAAGUCAGAUGUGAAAUCCCCGGGCUCAACCUGGGAACUGCAUCUGAUACUGGCAAGCUUGAGUCUCGUAGAGGGGGGUAGAAUUCCAGGUGUAGCGGUGAAAUGCGUAGAGAUCUGGAGGAAUCCCGGGGGCGAAGGCGGCCCCCUGAACGAAAACUGACGCUCAGGUGCGAAAGCGUGGGGAGCAAACAGGAUUAGAUACCCUGGUGGUCCACGCCGUAAACGAUGUCGACUUGGAGGUUGUGCCCCUGAGGCGUGGCUUCCGGAGCUAACGCGUUAAGUCGACCGCCUGGGGAGUACGGCCGCAAGGUUAAAACUCAAAUGAAUUGACGGGG